UAGCCGCAGCUCUGCUUCGCCACCUGGUGGGACUCGCUCUGGGCUUUGCCAUCAAGGGCCAUCUACCUGUGGAGAACAGGCAGCUGGAAUUCACCUGACUUUGAUCUGUGUGGGAAUUGCAUCCUGCUCUGAUCACAACACAAGCUGCAUUGUCCAGCUCAUCUUAUUAGCUCGAAUUAGAUCAGGAUUGUUCUUCCACAUGGGACGCGUGACGUGCUGGAGGCAGAUAUCACUCCAACCUUCAUAAUUUCCCAGCAGGAUGCUCCCUUCACCUGGAAACUGAAUUUGUCUCUGUACCACCAAACAUCAGCAGUGGAUCACAGGAUCUUUUCCAAAUUCUAUCAUAAAGAGAUGACUUCACUAGAGCAAAUACCAAAGGUUCACAAGGUGCAAACCAUUCAUCUGCAUGGAGAACAUAAACGCCAGAUUAAACUUCACCCAAAAAAGUCAGGAAACAUCAUUAUGUGGACAGAUGAAUCUAAAAUCAAUCUGUGCCAGAAUGACUGAUUUAGAGUUAGAGAUAUUGAAAUAAAUACAAUUGGUGCACGACAGUUCAGUCUCACUGUUUUAGCAGGAAGUAGUUCCCGGAAAGAAUCCUCCCUCUGACGACAUCAUUGAAGCCCUCGUGUCGGGUAGAAGCAUACAUGACCUCUGUUGAGCUGUCCAUCUUGCUGCGGUGGCCUGUUGAUCAAGUCAAACAGACCUAAUGUGAGACAUGCACUAUAAAAAGCUCCAAAACCACACACUACAGACUGUAUUGUUACCAUAUUCCAGGCCGUCAAAUCGGGCCAUGUUAGACGCCACCUCAGCGUGGCACAGGACGUGGUAGCACACAAUGGAGUACUGCGUAUGGGGGAGGGACACCUGCUCCACCCGUGCUCCAGCCUUCUCAAACAAGUCAGCCACAUGACUCCACUGGGCCAGAGUCUCGUCCGAGAGUCCCGGGGCAUGAUAUUCCUGAUGUAUAUCAUGGUUUCACCUUAGGGAUGCCCACACAGAUGUUCCUGACAUCAAAGUCUUCAGGAAACUCUGUUAGUGAUGACGGGGCAGGAACCGUUGUUGAAUCUCUAACAUCAAGGCCUUGAAGGACACCUGUGUGACAAAACACAUUCCCAGAUGACAGCUGCAUCAUUCACGCUGCGUGUCAUUAUACCCGGGACAUCCAUGGAGUUAACCAGGGGGAUGAGGCCGUGUCUAGAGAGCAGACCGUAGCUGGUGAGUGAGGCCACAGCUGCAGCGCUUCCA
Long non-coding RNA from Archocentrus centrarchus (flier cichlid), 1245 nucleotides. RefSeq lists it as uncharacterized. The transcript is spliced from 7 exons. The record is from RefSeq and is a predicted model, not a curated record. Lineage: Eukaryota; Metazoa; Chordata; Actinopteri; Cichliformes; Cichlidae.